RNAcentral lists this long non-coding RNA (1672 nucleotides) under Homo sapiens (human). RNAcentral's name for it is "HSALNT0379496". Lineage: Eukaryota; Metazoa; Chordata; Mammalia; Primates; Hominidae. The record is from RNAcentral.
CAUUCCAGCAUGGGCGACAGAACGAGACCCUGUCUCAAAAAGAAAACAAAAAAUAAUUGCAUUUGCUAUCCCAGAACUCACUCACACACUGAAUCCCUCGGGGUUUUGGAAACAACCAGGUCUUGUCCCGAAGGCAGCCUGUAGGUGGAGCUAGAGAAUGUCACCUGGGCUUCCCCGUGGGCGAGGAGCACGGGGCCAGGAGGAUCUGUUGAAAGGAGCAUUUGGAGGGCGGUGCCAAUGGGCAAGAGGUAUGCACAGAGAGCCACGGGAGUGGGCAGGGCCAGUUCAGGAAGGAAUCCCAGAGGCUUUUUGUCCCAAAGCCUACGCAUUCGUGCUGCUCUGACUUAAUGCAGUGCUCAGCUGUGCUGCAGAGUAACGACAAAGGCUGGGAGGAGAGGAAGUGGCUCACAGGCAGCUGAAGGUGUCAUUUUAAACAACGUGCUCUAAGUUAGCCUCAGAUGAGACUCUAGGAGAAGGCAUGGUGUUUCUUCUUGAUUGUCACUGUAUCCCAGGGGUACACGCACCCCAACCAGAGGCUUUGGAGGGUGUGCUUCCUGCCACCCUCAAGGGAGUUGUCUCUGUCAAGCUAACGGAUCCCGAGUUCCGGGGUGCCAGGCCGUAGUCUGCUUCAUUUUUAUCUGCACAAUAACCCGUGAGCCCAUACCAUCACCCCAUUUCACAGCUGAAGAAAUGGAUGCCCAGACAGGAUAAGUAGUUUGUACUAGAGGAUAACUACCUGGCUAACAAACCAACUAGUUAACUGGUUGGCCAGGAUUCAAAAUCUGACCCGCUUCAGAAUCGGGACUCGGACCACAGCGUGGCUUCAGAGAGCUCCUUCACCUGUGCUGGGCGUGCGUUGCCGUCGGGGAUGCGGCGGUGGUUAGCACACGUUCUCUUCACUCCCUGAACACAGAGGCUAGAGAACAGACCUGCAGACACACAGUGCCAGUGCUUGGCAGACACAAUCCUGGACGUCUGUGCUGUUAGGAACCGUCUGACGGGCGCCAGCAUCAGGCCUCGCUGCACACGGGCCUUGGAGCAAGCACAGCACCUGCUCAACAGCCAGCUCUGAGCACGGACCCUGCUUCCACCCUUCAGACAAACCAGCCACCAAGAGGCAUUUCUGGUCAUCAUCGAGCAUGACUCACCUUCAGCACCGGCUGAGCGAGGCCCAGAAGAUGACCAACUCCGUGGGGACCUGAGGUUGAUGUUGGACCGUAUUUACAUUCAGUGUUUGGGGCUGACCGGGAAGAAAUCUGAAAGUGGAAGAGAAGGGAAGGCACCGGUAACCUCGUCUUCCCAAGAGGAGGUCAGAGGGCAGUUCAGACAUUGAAGGAAGAGACAAAGAGCCUUGAAUGUCACGAAAAGGAGGUUGGACUUUAUCCUGCAGGCAAUCAGAAGCCAGAAAGGUUUCAGGAUGGAUGGGCUGAUCAGAUUUGAGUUUCAACAGGCCACUGUGCUGCUACAGACACCCAGACACCGGAGCUCCAGCCGGGGCAGGCUGCAGGAUGCCCAGCCGUGUCCCCAGGAUGCCCUGCACGCUGUCCUGAAAACUAACCUGUAACUGCAGCUCUUGGAGCCUUCCGGAACCCAGAUCCCCACCUGAGAUCAAACCAAAGACCUGGUUUAAGGUCCCUGGUUUGGCUUGUUGCCACCCAACGCUGCCCCAGUU